GUUAGGCUGAGAAGAUGUUAGUUAGGUAAACAAUGAAUCUUGGGUUGGCUCUUCAAGUGUCUUCCUCACUCGCCUGUAGCCAAGCUCACAGGCAAGAAGCAAGCAAUAAGCAUGCUCUGCCAGGGUCUUUCUCCUCAAAUUGCAUCCUCACUGUUUGUCAGGAGAUCAGGCUGGCUGCACAGUGUAUGCUUUCCCUGCUUUUUUGCAGAAAUAAUAUGUCGCAUCAGCCUAAUACUUGUAUCACCCACAGCAAGCUGGAGAAGAGCUCUUGGGACUCGUGACAAUGAAAGGCUCCGGAGGGCAUAUGGCAGGAGGGAAGCCACAGCCAGCCGGCCCAGCAGUUGCCUCUCUGCCUCUCCAAGAAGCAAAGAGAUGACUCCAGAGGACUGUAGAUAUACCUCUGAGAUAAGUAAUUUUUGCUAUUUUUUUUUUUUUUUUAUCUUUCUGCUUCAUUUAGUUUCUCACACUUGUGGAUCUUUGUGGGUGAGGAAAAUCAGUUCACAAACAGAAGCUUGGCCAAAGGAGCUAUUAAAACAGCUCAUUCCGCAGAAGCUAGAGCUGCUGUUAGCAAACUUCUCAUUCUGCUUAGUAAUUGCAUGCUGCUUGGUAUGCAAGUGCUCAUUUUCAGCUACCUGCUAACCCUGCCAUAAGGCAAACCCACUCGAAGUGCUCCACUCUGCUGAGAGGUGCUGUGGACUCAGGGCGUUGCAGGCACACAGGAGCAGCUGAGAGAAGUCCUGGAGACCUGAGGGCCUUAAAACCUCCCAUGAAGCAUGGUGAGACAGCCACACAGCCUUUCCAGCAGGGAACAAAAUGCUCGACACCACUUAUCCCAUGACACAUGGCUGCGGCCACUCCAUUAGCCUGUCUCAGCAAAGCAUCAGUCCCCAUCCCACCCAUUGCUGCAGGCACCCGCAGGAAACACUGCUUGUCUUUGUCGUUCAUCCCACUGGAAAUGCUGGUGUUUAACAUGCAAGCUGCUGAACCAAGCACAAAACACAGCUGGGGAAUCUCUUCUUGAUAGUAAUAUAUUAAAAGGGAAAAAGAAUGAUAAAACAGAAGCUGGAGGCAAUGCAGACACAUCCUAUCCCUGCUAUGCUUCUGGAGAGAUUUCUGAUUCCUUUCUGGCCAAGGGCAAUUUUUGGUUAUAGUACUUUUUUUUUCUGGGGAAAAAAAAAAAAAAAAAAAAAAAAAAAAGGAGAUUAAUUAUUUAUUGAAAUAAGAUGAGUUAGUGUUUCGGGUAAAAAAAAUGGAGAUUAAUUAUUUCUUGAAAUAAGAUGUUUCGUGUUACAGUCCUUCUUCGCCUGUAACACAGGCACAGACUGUGCUGCCCUCUGACUGCGUCCUGGAGCCAAGAAAUCUGCUUUGGACACUCCUUUGGAUUAGUGUCAAAAUGGCAACGAAGCUGAGCCUCUGUUUGCUACAGCAGAAAUGGUGCCUGGCUGCUGUACUGUUUUACAGCUCCUCUGCCCUCAUGGAGCACAACUUCUUGGUCACCUCUGUGCACCCCACUGAUCUCUUUUCCGGAUAUCCUGAAAAUCACGACACCUGUAAGCCCGCUAAUUUCUCCAUCUCUCUGAAACAUGACAUGAGGCCGUCUCCUUAUGUCAGACACCAGCCGCAGAGAUUCCUUCCUGCUCAGCCAAGUUGCACAGCGUGUUUUCUGUCUGUCUUGCUGCUGGGAUGCUGCACAGUGACAGUCAGGUUGGUGAGGUGAUGCCAAGAAGAGCUGAAGGAGAAAAAAAAAUCAGAAUUUCCAACCCACGGGAAAUUCCAAUGUGUUGAUGAGUAUUUUUUGUCUUGGGCUGGCACAAAGAGUCAAAGUCCUAACCUGGUCCUGUACAAUAAAAUGGUCAAAAAAAAAAAAAAAAGUACAAAGAUACUGAUGCAUUUUACAUCAAAUCCUUUCGUUACUAGGAGGCACCUCCUGGCAGGUGUUUUCACAUCCCCCAACAACAGACCUGUCCAGAGUUUGAACAACACAAAUGUUAGCUCCUGUGAGAAGAGGUUGGACUGGCUGCGAUGACUGUUUGAAUGGAACAAGCAGAAAAUGAAAGUCCUUCAGCUCUCCAGACACAUCGGGGACACACAAUGCCUCCCAGCAAUUGCAAGAAACCAGAUCUGCAAGCCAAAUAGCAGCUAGUGCCUCACCAAACUUAGAUUUCUUUAGUCACAGAAGCACCUAGAAAUAAACCAUGAAGAGACUUCAAGAGGUCAUUUAGCUCAUUUUCUCACUUAAAGGGCAAGCCAGUCCUGGAUAAAGAUCAGGCCGUCAGCUUUUCUGGCCGGCGUGGAAGCGCUGGGCACGCACGUAGCCGCGGGCGGCUGGACGCCUCCCAUCUGGAUCCCCGCAGCUCCUUUGAAAAGUGUGUCAAAAGGGGUCAGGGGGGGGGAGGAGGAACACGAGCAUGUGGCGGGUUGCUGAGCCGAAACCCGCCGUAGCAGCGUGCUGAGCCAGCCCAGCACUGCCCCUGAGUCCUGCUGGAUGUGUCAUUCAUGGUGCACAGCUGGCAAAGCCCCCAUGGGCUUGACCGAACACUUUGUACCCAACGCAUAGCACAUGUCCAAGGCCCCUUUUCCUUCCCCCUGCCCUGUUAAUGCAGCGCUGAAUGUUACUUCCCGUAAUGAAGCAGCCAGCUCCUCCCUAGAGCCACUCAGCUGAGAUUUAACACCAGGGUGGUUUGCACAGGAAAUUGGUGUUGGUUUUACUGGCUGUGGCAGCAAGGAGGCAGAUGACCGUGUGGAGCAAGGUGGGAGCAGGCUCAGCUGGUGUAAUUUCCCUGUGCAACACCCCUGGGUCUCACAGACCCCUUCCUGCAGCUCCUCAGUGCAGGAGGAGAGCUGCACGCAGCGAUAGCAACACUGCUCUGAGGCCAAGUGUGCUCUGAGCUUGUGAGAGCCCUGCAACCUGGCCUAGAGUCUCUGGGUCUCCCAGGGGUUUCCAGUUUCAGUUGGUGUCUCACGAUUCUGCCCACGCUGUCCCCUUGCUGUGCAAGCUGGCAGUUUGUCCAGCUCAUCUGCAAGCAGGCAGGCCCUGGGGAUGCGGUGCUUUCCAACCCAAAUGGAGCCACUCCUUUUGCAUAAUCUCAAGGGAUUUGGGAUUUCCUGCACAUUUGGGUUCCCUAGGGCCCAAAACUUUAUGCAGGUAGGGUCUGGGAAGCCCCUCAUGCACACGGCAAGACAGACAAAAAGAGCACUGUGAUGGUAAGCGCUGCACAAGCAAGCAGUGAGUCAGUUACGGCAUUGCCACAUCUCUGGCUGGAGCUGUGUCACCCGGCAGACGCCAUCUGGCUGGCAAACAGGGACCACUCAAGCACUGAAGGCAAAAAGUGUGCUGGCUAGGCAGCCUUUCUGCACCCCCUUUAGUGUAGGGAGGGGAAUUCACACGAGGAGACAAUGUGCCACGAGAAACUAUAAUACAGAAGGGCCUGGCCUGCACAGUAAGGACAGCAAUGACCGUGUCAGGAUCCUCAGAAUUAUUGGGGUGCUUGUUGCCCAGGAGGUGUUGCACAAUUCAAACUCUUCUGUUUUGAAAUCAGAGCAGUUUCUGGUUGUCUUGUGCCUGGUCUCCAGGUAAUGCCGGAAGAUACAAAAAACAACUUAGUAAAUUAAUGUGUUUGUAUAAUAUUUGUUGACUGUGAUGUCUGAUGACUUUAUUAGGUAAAGAAAAGAGAGAUAAACACUUUAUAGGAGCUAUCUUGCUGGUGAGGAAUUGCAAAACACAGACAUUACGAGUUUGCCCAAGACCAUGACUUAAGGCUGUAGGAGAAUUAGGCACUGAAUGCCUCCCCCUGUUUUCCCUGGGGAAAACAGCCUGGGUGCAUGGGGGACACAAGCCAAAGACAGUGAUGUGUCAUGAAGCCAAACUUCUGUUCAGACACACUUCUGGCUUAAUGUUGUCUGUUCUUCCUUCAUUGUACAGGAGCAAAGGAGCACUCUGCUGGGUCACCUAUACCAGCUGAAUGCUGUGCGUCACUGCCAGGAUAGGUGCCUUUGUCUAUAUAAGUCAUUUGGAGAUUAUUUAUUUCCUGUAGCUUGAGCAAUCUUUGUUGAAGUCUCCAUCUAAUCUAAUCAGUCUGGAUCUUUCCGUAAAAGGGACAAUAAGCAUGUCUGGAGUAAAAUCAUCUGGAGCCCUGUCAGACAUGCCAGAAGGUGACAAACUGGCCCAUACAAUCCCCAUUUCACUGCACUUGGCUACUAAGGACAUCGUGGUGCCUGUUUCAGACGGGCAUGGAUACUUGUGAUCGUAAGAGCAGAUGCUACCAUUCAGCCCUGGUAAACUGUUAUCAUAUAUUUCUGUGAGCUCAGAUAGCUCAAUCAAGCCUACGUUGAUCAGUUUUUUACACUCAAUUGAUUUUGAGAGCCCGAUUUGAAGCACAUGUUCACUGUGCAGUUGUGAAGCUGGAACUGAAGUGCUCACAGCUGAAGUUGACCCACAAACACAGUUUUUUAUUGCUCUUUAACUAGUGAUUGCUUGUUAUCCACAGGAAAGGACAUAUGUGUCGCAUUAGUAAAAAUAGAUGUAUUACUUUGGACAUCUUUUCCAGAAAAUUUGCACUGGAAGAGUCAAAAAAGCCUUUAUUGUGGUAAAACAUUUGAAAUAUAAGUCCUAUAUGUAAAAAAUUGUUUCAGUGAAUAAAGGCCUGAUAGUUUUCACUGCUGUGUUAGAAGAAAUUUAGUAAGCAAGUGAUUUUAGUACAGUGUUGCAAGGAACUCUUUGCCGAAUUAAAAAAUAAUUUUCUUAUCUGAAUAUUUUUGUU
Long non-coding RNA from Anas platyrhynchos (mallard), 4760 nucleotides. RefSeq lists it as uncharacterized. The record is from RefSeq and is a predicted model, not a curated record. Lineage: Eukaryota; Metazoa; Chordata; Aves; Anseriformes; Anatidae.